ACGGAGGGAUCUAGCGUUAUUCGGAAUAACUGGGCGUAAAGCGAGCGUAGGCGGAUUUGUAAGUUGGAGGUGAAAUCCCAGGGCUUAACCCUGGAACUGCCUUCAAAACUACAUUUCUUGAGUUUGGUAGAGGAGAGUGGAAUUCCUAGUGUAGAGGUGAAAUUCGUAGAUAUUAGGAGGAACACCAGUGGCGAAGGCGACUCUCUGGGCCAAUACUGACGCUGAGGUUCGAAAGCGUGGGGAGCAAACGGG
RNAcentral lists this ribosomal RNA (252 nucleotides) under uncultured bacterium. RNAcentral describes it as "partial 16S ribosomal RNA". It matches the Rfam family "Bacterial small subunit ribosomal RNA", at positions 525 to 776 of the family's 1533-position model. The record is from RNAcentral.